AUGCCCGAGCUGCAGAUGUUGAGUGGGGAACUUGUUUCACCUUUGUCGAUGGAGCAACUCAAGUUGGACUCUCCCCAGGAUUCGAAGGUGGACUUGGUGUCCUCACCACCCCCCAUGGAGCCUUGUCAGGCGUCAAACAGCCUACCUCUCGACGUCAUGGAGAGCGGAGUUUUAGAUGCUGUCGUCGUUCCCUUGUCUGUGACCAUCGGGCAGGUGAUGCCUGUGAGUGGCAUGACCACGGAGCCACUUGUGUUGGCACCUACCCCAAAUUCAAAUGCUCUCUUCGCGAAGGAACUUUGUGACUUGCUAGCCAGUGUUGAAGUUGCUAGACCUAGUUUAGGUAGGUCGAUUGCUUGCCUCCUAACAGGGACGCCAAUAAGGGACAAACAAAAGAAGGUGGGCAAUCGCAAGAGUGGCGCCAAAGGCAAGACGUCUUUGGCUGCUUGA
Molecule: ribosomal RNA, 447 nt
Filed under: Triticum aestivum (bread wheat)
Lineage: Eukaryota; Viridiplantae; Streptophyta; Magnoliopsida; Poales; Poaceae
Description: partial small subunit ribosomal RNA
Source: RNAcentral